CAGGAUGAACGCUGGCGGCGUGCUUAACACGAUGCAAGUCGAACGGAGUUUUUAACGGAAGUUUCGGAUGGAAGUUUAAGAACUUAGUGGCGGACGGGUGAGUAACGCGUGGGUAACCUGCCUCAUACAGGGGGAUAACAGUUAGAAAUGACUGCUAACACCGCAUAAUAUAGCGAAACCGCAUGAUUUUUGCUAUCAAAUAUUUAUAGGUAUGAGAUGGGCCCGCGUCUGAUUAGCUAGUUGGUGGGGUAAAAGCCUACCAAGGCGACGAUCAGUAGCCGGCUUGAGAGAGUGACCGGCCACAUUGGGACUGAGACACGGCCCAAACUCCUACGGGAGGCAGCAGUGGGGAAUAUUGGACAAUGGGGGAAACCCUGAUCCAGCGAACCGCCGCGUGAGUGAAGAAGUAUUUCGGUAUGUAAAGCUCUAUCAGCAGGGAAGAUAAUGACAGUACCUGACUAAGAAGCCCCGGCUAACUACGUGCCAGCAGCGGC
RNAcentral lists this ribosomal RNA (494 nucleotides) under uncultured bacterium. RNAcentral's name for it is "bacterial SSU rRNA". It matches the Rfam family "Bacterial small subunit ribosomal RNA", at positions 25 to 518 of the family's 1533-position model. The record is from RNAcentral.